AAACCAUGAUGUGGACAUCUUUGGAUCUGCAUCUUAAAAUGCUCUGAAGCUUCGUGAAAGUUUUCUCUUUCUAGUUGCUUAAAUAUAGUGAUCUCCCUCCUCAAUUA
Molecule: non-coding RNA, 107 nt
Organism: Gossypium raimondii (Peruvian cotton)
Lineage: Eukaryota; Viridiplantae; Streptophyta; Magnoliopsida; Malvales; Malvaceae
Source: Rfam